This 400-nucleotide ribosomal RNA is filed under the name phytoplankton environmental sample. RNAcentral describes it as "partial small subunit ribosomal RNA". It matches the Rfam family "Eukaryotic small subunit ribosomal RNA", at positions 587 to 992 of the family's 1831-position model. The record is from RNAcentral.
AGCUCCAAUAGCGUAUAUUAAAGUUGUUGCAGUUAAAAAGCUCGUAGUUGAAUUUUUGAUGCGGCCGAUCGGAGCGGCCUAACGGUUGCUACUGAGAGGACGUGUCUUUCCUUCUGGGGAGCCAUGAUGCAAUUUGUUUUGUGUUGUGGGGAACCAGGACUUUUACCUUGAAAAAAUUAGAGUGUUUAAAGCAGGCUUAGGCUUGAAUAUAUUAGCAUGGAAUAAUAGAAUAGGACUUUGGUUCUAUUUUGUUGGUUUUUAGGACUAAAGUAAUGAUUAAUAGGGACAGUUGGGGGCAUUAGUAUUUAAUUGUCAGAGGUGAAAUUCUUGGAUUUAUGAAAGACUAACUUCUGCGAAAGCAUUUGCCAAGGAUGUUUUCAUUAAUCAAGAACGAAAGUAG